This 748-nucleotide long non-coding RNA is filed under the name Capra hircus (goat). Its description in RNAcentral is "lncRNA (ENSCHIG00000002264.1)". Lineage: Eukaryota; Metazoa; Chordata; Mammalia; Artiodactyla; Bovidae. The record is from RNAcentral.
CUACUGAGCCAGCGCUCUGGAGCCUGCAGGCUGCAACUACUGAAGCCCACGCGACAACAAGAGAAACCGCUGCAAGGGUUAGGGUUAGCCCACACCCCGCAGCCAAGCACAGCGCCCGCGCGUCUCAACCGGAGAAAGUCAGCACGCAGCACCAAGGACCGAGCACAAUCCGAAAAAAACAAGCCAAGGUGGUCCUGUCUCUGCCCAAUCGACUAUGGGGGCACCAGGUUCUCCAAAUCUGGCCUUGUGGGUCUUGGUUCUCGGAUAUUCCUUGUGUCCUGUGGGUCCUCUACGUUUCGUAUUAAGCCCGUCAGCUGGUCUGUGCUUAUUUCCUCAGGGACGAGAUAUGACAACGAGCAGGAGAAAAAGAAAGAAAGCAGCCUCAGCCUGGCUUCUGAGUUUCAAAAGCAGCCCUUGGUCUGGACACGACAUGGAGCACAAAGGAUCCUGGAGCUGGAAACCUGGGGUCAUCCUGGAGCCCCUUAAAAGUCACCGAGGCUCCCCAGUUCCUCUUCUCAUCCUCUGAGACACUUUCCACUCCCAUCCGCUGUUCCGGCUGCACCCUUGGCACCAACCCAGCCCGCUGCCCUGCCCCCUCCCAUCACCCACAGGUGGGAGGGGGACAGGGAGGACUCCAUGGGCAGUAGCUGGGGGGACAGAGGGCGGCAGGGGAGGAGGAGGUGCAAGGGAAGGGGCCUGCCAUUGCAGAGGCGCUCAGUGAUGGUCGGAUAACGGGCAGUGAUGACAC